Molecule: long non-coding RNA, 214 nt
Filed under: Manihot esculenta (cassava)
Lineage: Eukaryota; Viridiplantae; Streptophyta; Magnoliopsida; Malpighiales; Euphorbiaceae
Description: long non-coding RNA (MESC_LNC003111)
Source: RNAcentral
GAAAAUCGGACCGCUACCGGCGCUAGGAUCCAGAUCGGCUUAAGGCCGCCGGGACCCGUAGCAAGCCUGACAUGAAACCUGUAAACCUGUAUAAUCCCAUACAUGAUCAACAACAUGCAUAAAAAUUAAAACUUUUUAUUCCAUGAACAUCAACCAAACUCAACCUGUGUAUAAACAUAACAUAACUUUGAUCCCUCUGUGGGAUCUCAUCUGU